CGUCCGCAUUCACUCUUUCGCUGUCGUUCAUCGCCCCAGAACUCACCGUUAUCAGACACGUCUGUCUGUGACGUCCCUCUUUGCCUCCCACCAUUCACUGAGACAGACACGGCACACGUCUCUUUUUCUUUUUGCAAAAUUCCUGUCGCCCUUACAUGUAGUUCACCUUUUGCCCCCCCCCCCCCCGCCCAUUCUCAAUACGAGAGAAACCCUCGCCGCGGCACUCGAGGCCACGCGUCGGCUCUCUCGUCCUUCUCUUUCUUUUUGCCUCCUCUGCAGAGAGAUGCACCGCCCCGCGUGACAGCUCUCCGCGCUUUAGUAUUAUUAUUUUCUGUUGCAAGUCACUGGGAGAAAGGGAGGAAGGGAUAGGCGGCAGGGUGCACAGGCGAGAGAGCGCAGCCCUCGCACCUUAUCAGCCGCUGUUUUAGUUGUCUGGCGCUUGCUUCACGCUUCCCUUCCCAAUUGAGUGAUACACGCCAUCUGUCACCAAGUCCAUGUCAGCAGAGCACCACUUGCGCCCCGCCGACACGGGCGAGGAGGGCAUCUAUGCUCGCUCUCCUCUCACGGCAAGGGAGGAGGCAACGCAGCUUUUGCCUGGCAGUCGCUUCCUGAGCACGAUGGAGUUCAAGCGCAUCUACCUCGGCGGUGGCACUGUCGGUGAUGCGUCGACGGCUGCGACCGCACGUCCCUCAAGCUCGUCCCCGCCUGGCACCUUCGCGAAGCGUGUGCAUCUGUCUUCCCUUUUGACAAAUUCGGCCCCAUGGGGGACCCAUGCCGGCCCAUCUCCCCAUGCCAUUCGUGCUCCGUGCAAACCCGCCACCGACACUGCUGCACGUUUCCAUAGCAAAGGCGAUACCCGAGGGACAGCGCGUCAGCUACGGUAUUUGUACGGUGGUGCGUGUGGCCGUAUACAUGUACCGGCAGCGUCUGAAACGCACACGCCUUCACCUCGACGAACAACGGCACCAAGACCCUCCGCAGAUGAGUACAGUCCAUAUGCCGCGAAAACGCUAACGAGCGAAGCACCACAGGUCGUUGCGCCAGCUAUACUGUACUCAGCACACAAGCCGCUGCCGCACCAGCUGCGCUCGCGUGUGCACUCGGCCCGCCGUGCCACGUCGCCGUCAAUGAAGACGAAGCUCGGCGCGGAGCCCCUGCCUCGUAGCCAGCUGCGUACAGAGGAUGCAUGGCUCGCACUGACGCGUGAGCUGAUGAAUAAGAAAAUGGAGGUGCAGAACCUUCAGCAGCAGCUGCAGCGCACGCACGUCCUGCUACGCUCUCUGCACGGCAUCACAGACAGCAUAGUCGACGAGGGCGAUGAAGCUGCUGACGCGGACGCUAUCGCUGCUGUUGACACGUCAGCAGCUGUGGCCACAAGCGGCAAGUUGACAGGUGGAAGCGGGCCGGAGAUGGGCCCCUCUUCAGAGCUGCCCCGUCCGAGAGAGUACUGGCAGCGACGCGCGUACUUUUUGAUGAAGCAGAACGAGGAGCUGCAGGCGGAGUCUGAUCGGCUGCGCCGCGACUCGCGCGGUCGCAAAGUGCGCGAUUUGCUGCAAGAGCUCAAGUCAGUGCGUGGAGAGCUUAGUCGGUAUCGGAGACAGGCCGGCGUUGCAGCUGCGUCGUCGCCUUCUGCCAAGGAACUGGCAUCGGAGCCUGGUGGCCCCGAAGCUGACUUAGGCAUCCCUCCGCACGACGACGGAAAGCUGGCAAGCAGUCCUCUGGCACCGCGACUAACGCAUCGGGGUAGCGAGACGUCGUCGUUUCUCGAACCCGCCGUCGACGAUGCGUUUCUCCGCCAGAAGGACGACACCAUCUGCGGACUGCAAGAGCGUCUUCGCCUGCUGACACAGCAGUACGAGCAGACUGAUGCGAGGCUCAUAGAGACAACGCGACAACUGGAGGAUAUGACGCACCGCCACUGCGCCAUGCAGGUGGAGUGGAAGGCGCUGAUGGAGCUCCCGCAGGAACUCGCUCGCACGCAGCAGCAGUUAGCCGUCGCCCGGGCCCGCCUCCUCGACUGUGAUCGAGAAGUGGCGGCGUUCCACCAGGUGUUCGACACGCAGUCGUCGCCCGCCACGCUGCGCGCCAUAAUUGACGAGCGUGAUCACCUCGUCGAGCUUCUGCAGCAGAGUCGCGAAAACGAGGCAGCCUUGCGCGAGGAGGCGCAGGCGGCACAGCAACAGGCGGUGCGAGCCAUGGAAAAAAAGUAUCAGGAGCAGUGCGCGGAGCAACGUGCCAUGGCACGCGAUCGCGAGGCGCAGCAGGAGGAGACAAUACAGAAACUGCGGAAGCAAGUCGCCACCCUUGAGCACGUGCUGGAGGUGCAGAGAGGUGCAUACGAGGGACAGCUGGCAGAGUACGCGGAGGAGCGUGAGGCGGAGCUGACAAAGCGGCUUCUCGAGUCGCUACGGCGGCCCGAGAAUGGAAUGGAAAGUAUUGCCCUAUCCGCGCCUCGUUCACUUGGUACAGCUGCGUCGGUGCGGCCCACGUUGCCAGACGGGCAGCCACCCACGACUGAUGUCUCCCGUCUUUCGGCAUGCGAGGCGUCACUGAUGUCGACGCCGGCACGUGCGUCGUCGUCGCUACGCUGUCCAAGCGCCGAACACGCACAGGCGGACCCGAUGCUUCGGACAGCCAGUUUCCUCGAGAGUGUAACGUCGCCCUGCAGCGCGGGAGGGGCCGCGAAUGCCACAGUCGCGCAAGGCGACGACGCCUUUCCCGCCGACAGAGUCGCAGGCAAGUCGACACUGUCUUUCAUGCCGGAUACAACAGACAGCAACUCCAGCUAUGACUCGCUAACCGGCGACAGCCAAGACGACGUGACGUCGCUUUCCUCCGCGUCGGCGCGUCAAUCGCGUCGCAUCAUCGGUGGCUCGACCUCUUCCUCGACGCGUACACGUGGCGGUGAGCGUGUGCGCUACGUCACAGUACGCAAAGAGUUGGCAGACGACUGCGCUGCUGCUGCGACAGACGAAGCGAGGGUUACAGCGGCCUUCUCGAGCUCCACGGAUGACUACAGCGACGGCGAAGGUAGUUAUGGAGAUGACGAAACAGUAGAGAAGGCCAGCGGACCAGACUCAGGCUCCUCCGUCGUCUCCUCGGCAGACUCUUCCACCCAGCUCACUUCCGGAGCCGAGGGCGUGGCCAAGCAGCAGCAGAUUGCCACGAACACGGCUAAUACCGCCCCCGCCAAGGUCCACAGCUACGUCAUCGAUCUCCCUGCACCGCCGAUUGCCGUGGUUUCACCAGUAUCCAUCCUUAUCAACCGCACCACCAUGACCGGCCCCCUGUUCUCCUCCAGUGUGCGGGCUGUCGUGCACUCGCCUGACAUCAGCUCGCAACGGACAGCGUCGGCCGCAGACCUCACCCACACUCAGCAGACGCUGCCAGAUAUCAGCGAAGCCACGAGCAGCGGCUCAUUCUCGGCCUCUUCUUCAACCUCUUCCGCGUUGAACUCGCCGCACUCCGGCGAUGAUGAUGGCCCAAGCCCCCGUGCAGAUUCCAACCGAAGUGAGCCACACGGUGGCCCGCUGCAGCCGAUGGAAAAGGGCAGCGUAGCGAAGUUCAAUAGCAGCAGCAUCGCUGGGUCAGCAGCGCUGGCGGAGGCGGCCACGCGGCGGAUGCCGCCUCUACCCGAUCCCAAUGUUGCGGCGCCGCUCCCAAUGUUCCUUGCGGGGCGGCAGCCGCCUGAGUUGGAGGAAGCGGUCGCGACGGCUUCGUUCAAGGCGGCGCCGCGCGCAAAUGAACGGCGAUCUUCCCUUUCACUCGUCUCCUCUCCCGGCGCCAACGCGCUGACGACCGUGCACCCACGGGGCGGUGUGCCGAUCCCGUCUCCUGUCGCUGUUACUCCAGCUGUUGCCUCGAAUUUGUACCCGCAGCGACGCAGCAGCUCGUUUAUGGUGACGGGCGUCUACAACGACGAUGACUUCGGCGGAGUUGGUGCAGGGAUGAGUCGAGGCGGGGUGAGCUCCCGCAUGCUCAGCAACGAUCACAGCACAACCGUCGAUCUCACCAACCAGUACUCUGGUAACGCCUCUUUUGAUUUUGUGGGGGCCCUUGCGGAGCGUCACCGCCUGGAGGACAUGCAGAAUGCGUUUUUAUCUUUUCGGCUGUCGUCGACCGCGAAUGCAACCAUUGGCGGCGACGUCGGCGGUGAGAUGUCUGCCUUCCCGAUGGAGGGGUCUGGGAACAUCAACAGUGGCCGGUUUGCUGUGAUGGGGACAGGGGCGGUGGGGCUGCGCAAGACCCCAUCCCCUUUCGGCUCCGAUGCCUUGGAAGUGAGCGAGCCCGUUCUCUCCACAAGCCAUCAUAAAGGCGACGAAAAGGCCACGGGAUCAACGGCAGCUAUCGCAAAUGCCUCGCGGCAAGGUGAGGAUAGGGCGUCAGGCGACGGCGGGAGUGCCGGCUCUAUGGAGGUGCCCUACCCGGACGAUGACGAAGACAUGACCUCCAUCUCUGCCUACCGCGUCACUGCCGGGACGCGUGAGCGAGAAGAGGCGCCCCUUGCAGAUGCGCUUUCGUACACUGGUCCCACCGGCGGCAGCGCUCUUAGCAAGGUACCAAGCGAGGAUGCUUCAGCGGCGAAGAACCCAGUGCCGGAGACGACGAUGCAAAGCAUUCUUGCUGUAGAUGCUGCGCGCGACGCCUCCGCUUCUCCCAUGGCGAUUGCCUCGUCACUUGGGAGCUGUGGCAACCUCGUUCCAAGCGCGAAGACGCCCCCGCCGGAGGAGCAAGCAAUAUUGUCUUUUGGCUUUUAGGACAUGGGCAGAGCGACGUUGCAGGCCGAGGACGUCGAAUCCGCCGCGCCACCUGCUGCCGCCGCGAUCACGGAAGCGGCUGCCGUGCCAUCUUUUGUGCCUCUUCCGCCGAGAGUGGCGGUGCCUGCGCCGCCUUCCACCUAGGCACCUCAGCCGUAGCGCUGCCAAUACGGGCGUGGCUCGGGACGACAUGCAGCGCCUAAAGUCUCUCUUUUGAAUAGGACGUGACAAGAGUUUUUCCAAGGGCGCCUUCCUAGCGUGUCCAGGCGUGCGCGGGCGAGCACCUUUCGCUCAAACACCGUGCGCAUGCGCACAUCGUUCUCUUCUUCAUUUGUGGAUACGAACACCCACGGUCACGCAGACCUCCCCUCCUUCUCUUACGGCGCAUGGGACGCUAGAAGAGACCCUGGAGCUGGACCUACACAUGUUAAACGCAUAGUGGCGAACGAAUAGAGACGCAACGAAAAAGUGACGACGCGCGGACCCUUUUGCGGGUGCUUAUCGAGGAGCGUACCACCACCACGAGCCACGGUAGAGCGUCUCGUUGCAGUCGUCAUGGCUGCAGCUGAAGAGGUGCCCCUCCUACCUUGCCUCAUCAUACUCAUGCGUUUUCUUUCUCCUUCCGUCACCUUGGAUGCGGUUCAGCUCGGCGCGUGUCGUGCCCGUGCCACCCGCUGUGCGCCUGAGCCUUUUGCUCGGCCUCUCUCUCGUUUCCCGAACCCACGAGGCCCAUACAUGUGGAGCCGCGGCACGUCACCUCCGGCGCUCCCCCUCCGACGGCCUUCACAUGACUGCGCUUACGCAGGUGAAGGUGUGUAAAGGCAAUUCGGCGCAUGGGAGGGGUCAUGUGUGUGUGUGUGUGUAUGUGUUCUCGGGGUUGACUCUCUCGCAUGCUGCGCCUCACCGUCUCAUCGUAUGGACCGCUCGAAUACUUCUCCUUUUUUUUUGUUUUUGCUUCAACGUUUUAUUUUUGCGUGCACGGCUAUGCCCGGUGCAG
RNAcentral lists this unclassified non-coding RNA (5754 nucleotides) under Leishmania donovani. Its description in RNAcentral is "gene:LdHU3.36.8580(CDS-product:flagellum_transiti on_zone_component_putative)". The record is from RNAcentral. Lineage: Eukaryota; Euglenozoa; Kinetoplastea; Trypanosomatida; Trypanosomatidae.